GUAACAACUCACCUGCCGAAUGAAUUAGCCCUGAAAAUGGAUGGCGCUGAAGCGGGUAGCCGACACCACGCCGUCUGGGCGAGUUAUUGCUUCAGAUGAGUAGGAGGACGUGGCGGUCGUAUCGAAGCGUGCGCGCAAGCGUGCGUGGAACGGCCGCUAGUGCAGAUCUUGGUGUUAGUAGCAAAUAUUCAAACGAAAACCUUGAAGGGCGAAGCGGGGAAGGGUUCCACGCGUACAUUGAUUGGGUGUGGGUGAGUCGUUCCUAAGCCGAGUGGCAAUAGCUAAUUACCGGCGAAAGGGAAGCAGGUUGACAUUCCUGCACACGGAUGUGGAGGCGGUGACGCACUUCUGGAGUAGUGAAGCUGGCUUUGGCACUGGGCAGAGUUGUCUUUUCUGUUUAACCGCCCAAACUGGCACUGUGUGGAAUCCGCUUGUCGGGAGAAACACGUGCCGACGGGAAAAGCGCCGGGAUUUUUCCGGCGUCCAGUUCGCCAUCGACGGACCUUGAAAAGCUACUUGCUGGCACAGUCCUUCGGAGUUUUUCCGGAGAUCAGCUGUGUGUGAAAAAAUCCACGCCGUAACGUACCGAUAACCGCAUCAGGUCCCCAAGGUGAACAGCCUCUGCUCGAUAUGGUAAAUGCAGGUAAGGGAAGUCGGCAAAAUCGACCCGUAACUUUGGGAAAAGGGUUGGCUCUAGUGCUGCGUGGGAUUGGUUGCUGAGGUGUCCGGAUUGAUCCGGUGUGAAACUGCGGCGGAGCGGGCGAAACCCCUCGGGGUGGAGCAAGCGCCGAAGCGGGGACGGACCGUCGAACAACGAGGCCCGCGGCGACGCCCACGGCAUGCAGCAAACUAGAACUGCAACGGGCAAAGGGAAUCCGACUGUUUAAUUAAAACAAAGCAUUGCGAAGGCCGUGGCCGGUGUUGACGCAAUGUGAUUUCUGCUCAGUGCUCUGAAUGUCAAAGUGAAGAGAUUCAAAUAAGCGCGGGUAAACAGCGGGAGUAACUAUGACUCUCUUAAGGUAGCCAAAUGCCUCGUCAUCUAAUUAGUGACGCGCAUGAAUGGAUUAACGAGAUUCCUACUGUCCCUACCUGCUUCUAGCGAAAACACAGCCGAGGGAACGGGCUCGGCAAAAAUGGCGGGGAAAGAAGACCCUGUUGAGCUUGACUCUAUUCUAAAACUGUGAAACGAGUUGGGAGGUGUAGAAUAGGUGGGAGAGGGGCUUGCUCCUCGUCCGUGAAAUACCACUACUCCCAAUCUCGUUUUACUUACCAGGUUGCUGUGGGCCGAGUCGAAAGGCUCUUUGUUUCUGGACCCAACACGUCGCGAGUUUCGACUCGUGGCGUAGACCACCGCCUGGAACACUUUUAGGAGGGGAGUUUGGCUGGGGCGGCACAUCUUCUACAAGACAACGAAGGUGUCCAAAGAUAAGCUCAGUGAGAACAGAAAUCUCACGUAGCGCAAAAGGGUAAAAGCUUGUUUGAUUUUGAUUCCCAGUGCGAGUCGAAAACGCGAAAGCGUGGCCUAUCGAUCCUUUUGAAUUUCGAGAUUUGAAGCAGAG
RNAcentral lists this ribosomal RNA (1559 nucleotides) under Caloglossa leprieurii. RNAcentral's name for it is "eukaryotic LSU rRNA". It matches the Rfam family "Eukaryotic large subunit ribosomal RNA", at positions 1282 to 2802 of the family's 3401-position model. Lineage: Eukaryota; Rhodophyta; Florideophyceae; Ceramiales; Delesseriaceae. The record is from RNAcentral.